RNAcentral lists this ribosomal RNA (264 nucleotides) under uncultured bacterium. RNAcentral describes it as "partial 16S ribosomal RNA". It matches the Rfam family "Bacterial small subunit ribosomal RNA", at positions 793 to 1055 of the family's 1533-position model. The record is from RNAcentral.
GUCCACGCCCUAAACGAUGUCGACUAGUUGUCGGGUCUUUACAGACUUGGUAACGCAGCUAACGCGUGAAGUCGACCGCCUGGGGAGUACGGUCGCAAGAUUAAAACUCAAAGGAAUUGACGGGGACCCGCACAAGCGGUGGAUGAUGUGGAUUAAUUCGAUGCAACGCGAAAAACCUUACCUACCCUUGACAUGCCAGGAACUUCGCAGAGAUGCGGAGGUGCCCGAAAGGGAGCCUGGGCACAGGUGCUGCAUGGCUGUCGU